GGCUCAGAGACCUGCGUUGCCGCCCUGCUGGGGGACCAGCUGGAUCCCCUUCCCGAGGAGAGCCUGAGGCAGAAGCCCAAUCCCAACGCCGUGCGCUCCCUGGAAGCCGUGAUCCAGGCCCACAGGAAGUACUGGGUGGCCCUGCAGCGUUUCUCCUCCAAGCUCGGCUGCUCCUUCCUGGAAUUCCAGCGGGACCACGAGGCCGAUGAGGUGGAGACGGUGACGGCGCUGGCCUCGCUCUCCGUGGCCGUCCUGGGGGACAAGAGGUGAUGGAUCCUGCUCCAUUCCCUCGGGAUCCUGCUCCAUUCCCUCUGGAUCCUGCUCCAUUCCCUAGAGAUCCUGCUGCCUUUCAUUCCCUCUGGAUCCUGCUGCCCCUCGUUCCCUAUGGAUCCUGCUCCAUUCCCUAGGGAUCCUACUGCCCCUCAUUCCCUGAUGG
This is a long non-coding RNA of Corapipo altera (White-ruffed manakin), 436 nucleotides long. RefSeq lists it as uncharacterized. NCBI's taxonomy places the organism in Eukaryota, Metazoa, Chordata, Aves, Passeriformes, Pipridae. The transcript has 3 exons. The record is from RefSeq and is a predicted model, not a curated record.